UCCCUCUCGUGCUAUCUCUCAUUCUCUCCCUCUCAAAUAAAUAAAUAAAAUCUUAAAAAAAAUAAAGCUGUGCUCGCAUAUAAAGGCUUUGACAAGUUUUAUAGUAAGGAAACUUGUUUAACUUUGUUUAACCUAGCAUUUCCCAAAUCUACGCAUCCCAAAAACCUUUUGUUAAAUUUUGGAAAAGAUAAUUUGGGGAAGGCUAUUUUAAGUAAGACAAAUGAUAUCAUACAAAGACUAUAGGCUGAAGGGCCAGAACUUGAACUCUGGUCUACCACUUGCUCUGUGACCCUGGGAAGUCACUCAAAACUCUUAGGAUCUCUGUUAUCUCAUUAGCGGAAUAAUUCCUAGUUCAUAGGGUUGUUGUGGUGAUUAAAUGAGAUGAAAAAUGUAAAAAGCUUAGCGCUACCUGGUGUCUCGUACGUAUUCAAUUAAUAUGAAUUCUCUUCUCCUCCCUCUUUUUCUGCCUACUGUUUGGUCACUCUCCUUCAACACAUAAGAUGCAACAGAGAAAACGAAGAAAACAGAAUCCUAAGAAGAGCUCGAUAAAUAGUUAAGGACUUAAAUGGAAAAAGCUGUCUCGCGUUUUUCUUUGAAGACAUCCCAAACGCCCCUCCAGCACCAGACUGACAAGCUGCGAAGGGAAAACCCACCCUUUCUCUGUGCCUCAGGUUCCUUAUCAGAUUCCUUAUAGAUCCCGUCAAGUAUCGAACACUGGCUCUGACCCAUGACACAGAUUGAUACCGGCCCAGCUUCCAAGACGGGAGAGAAGUUCAGCUACAUCCAAACUGACGGAAAUAUGCGAAUGUGAACAUAAACUUUGCCAGUGACUCAGGACCUCAUUCAGUCUCAUGUACAUCACUUUGAUCUAGUGCUUUAACUUUCUAAAGCAGGACCCACACUUUUUCUCUCAUUUUCAAAGUAAGAGGCCUCUCUCUGCAGCAAACGGUAAACUGACAAAAGCAAGAUGGUAAAAAGUGAAGUAAAAUUCUUGGUGAUGUUCUUUAGAAAAGACCUUCUUCACAUGUGGUCUUUGGAACUGAGGGUGCCAAAAAGGUCGGUGCCUGAAAAGAUGCCAAAUGAUGCAGCCAUCGCUAUGGGGAAUUUAAACAUGGAGGCUCUUCCCAGCCCACUGGCCCAGCGGCCAUGUCAUUCUCUAACUGGAUGUUAAGGUCUCACCAUCUUCGUGACUGCCCACAAAAGCUAGUUGGAGAAACUUUUGGCCCAGCUUCUGUUGUGACUGUUUCAAGGAGCAAAUUUACAUUCACUUUAGUUUUCCUUGCAAAUGGACCUCCUAGAUCCAGAUAACUUAGAAAGCCAGUGUAAAGAAAGGUCAACUUUCAGAGUUUACAAAGACUUCCUGCUUUGCUUUUGACUUGUGAUGAGCAAGUUUUGCAUUGAACUCCAAGCAUCCAGUUUAAACUAAAUGCACUGGCCUCCAAGAUACCAUAUAAAUUGUCAGAAAGGUAAGGUAAAACUAAUUGCCUUGAAUACUCAAAUGAGGGAAAUGCUUAUGACCUUUGGUUUAGUAAGGUGAGCAGGAUUAUUUAAUUUGUAGAAUGUUUUAUAUGUCAAAGAGCGUUACACAUGUUGUCUGUUACAGCCUUUGAACAGCCAUUUGACACGGGGGAAGAGUGAGCAAUGCCCAUUCAUACAGGAGGAAAGCAGACUUGUUCAAGCACUAAGACAGCACCAGGCUACAAACCAUGGACUCUUUCCUGAAGCAAAAAACUGGCUUCUAGCUUUGCUACAAACUUUCUAAGUAAUAGUUACAUACAAAGAUGCAGAAGAAAGUGAUUUAAGCAUUUAACUUCAAAAUGUGAUAGGAACUAAUUACUUAAAAAGGCCUGGGUGUCUUAAAUAAAAGUCACACUAUUUGAAUAAAACCAAAGAGGUGAAAUUUUAAAAGGCAGUUAAUUUUAUUUAUUUGGCAGUCAAUUUUAAAAGAUGAAAAUAAAAAAAUAUCCAUUAAAGGUGGCAUAAUAGAUGCACAUUUCUGCUUUUCAGAGGAAAAAAGUCUGUUUUCUUCUGAAAUUGGUAUUCUCAGUUAAUGGAGCACAGAAGAUGGCAUUCGACUUGUCUAAGGAUUAAAACAUUACACUUUCUUCCAAAUACAAAUAAAUCUUUUGCUGAUCACCCAAUUCUAGAAACUGAGAAUAGUAGUACUUCUGUUGUUUUAGCAGUGUGUCAUAAAAGCCGCUCCUAUUGGGUAUAACUGCCUCCUCCCUUUUACAUCCUUUCAAAUUAUUUCAUCCUUUCAAAUCAUUCAAAAUGAGUAGAAACAGGAAUAAUAAGGAAAGAGAAUCUGAGAUGAUAAAAGUUCAGUAUUUCACCCAUUCCACCAAAACCAACAGAUCCUUUGUAUAACACUGCUCUAAAUAAUUUUCAUGUGCCUAUUCCUAUUGGACAGGGGAAAGAGAAUACCAACCAGUGUUUUUCUUUGGUCUAAGUCUCAUCUAAAGAAGAGUUCCAACUUCUAGUGCAUGACAGGAAAAGGUUCUAUUACUAAGGAAACAGAAAGGUAUUACUGUCGCCCCAACCCCCAUUCCAAAAUACCAUGUCACAUUUUGCAGAUAAAGUUAGAGAACUCUGAAAGGACCUGCUUGGUUUCCACUGGGAGAAAGGAAAGCAAAAGAGAAUAAAGCAAAAAUGUACCACUUGGAGAACAGUCCUAGAUGAUACCUCACAUUUUUAAAGUACUGUAGUUUAUGAGAGAACUUCACACAUAUCUCUUGGUGUUGACCUACCUGUGAGGUUGGGAAGAAAAUAGUUACUAUCCUUACUUUGUAGGAAGAGGAACAGAACAGAGACUCAAAGAGGUUACUGACUUGCCCAAAGUCAAGCGCUUAGUAUCGACUUUGCUGGCACGACAGCCAGGUCGUUAUCGUCCAGUUCGGUGCCUGUUUUGUCCUUGCUAAGUGCCCAUGCGAUGCACAAAAAGAGGACUUAGUGGUUUUCCAAUGUGUGACAGUCAACACUAUUCUCCUUUCAUUCAUGGGAGAGAUAAUGGUAUCUUAACUAAAGAGGUAGACUUUGGGGAGGAGCCCAUUAAUAAUAUAUACGCCUCUAAAAAUAUAAAACAUUCUAAAAAUAACUGGUAACAAACUAAGGGAUUAUUAUCAAAGUCAACUCCUUUGAAGGAAAAGCAUUUCAGCACUGACUUAUGUUGAACAGAAAGAAGAACAUUCCUGUGGGCUUAUACUCUUGAAGGGCAACCCCAGAAAAGUAAAGGCGGCACUCUGAGAUUUUUGUCAAUUAGUUUAAUGUAUGUCCAUUGGUAGUUCAUAUGAAUGCUUAAAUUACAAAAUUAGCUGCCAUGGUCCAAAUGUGUGGGACUUUAAGAAAGCUUUUAUUAAUCAAAAGAUAGCUAAGCAUAUCAACUUUGAUUUCUAAAAUGUAUUUUAAACUUUGUAAAACAAGGCUCAUUCUAGAAUUAUAUAGCAUUAAAGUAAUUCUUACGUUAUUUUUGUUAUUUUAAUAACUUAAUUUCAUGAACUGUUAAAAAAAAUAUUAUAUUUGCAUCUCCCAGUUUACACAUUUCUGCAUUAACUUAGAAAAAAAUCCAUGUGAAAAGUUUCCAUGCAGUUACAAAGGCAGCAGCACAUACUGCUUUCACAACUUGUUAUUGCCUCAGAACACACCUGCACAUAAAGCAUCAACAAAAAAAUAUCCCCCCAC
Long non-coding RNA from Zalophus californianus (California sea lion), 3678 nucleotides. RefSeq lists it as uncharacterized. The record is from RefSeq and is a predicted model, not a curated record. The transcript has 2 exons. NCBI's taxonomy places the organism in Eukaryota, Metazoa, Chordata, Mammalia, Carnivora, Otariidae.